This 110-nucleotide ribosomal RNA is filed under the name Streptomyces harenosi. Its description in RNAcentral is "partial 23S ribosomal RNA". It matches the Rfam family "Bacterial large subunit ribosomal RNA", at positions 2820 to 2925 of the family's 2925-position model. Lineage: Bacteria; Bacillati; Actinomycetota; Actinomycetes; Kitasatosporales; Streptomycetaceae. The record is from RNAcentral.
UUGAUGGGGUAAGGCUCCCAGUAGACGACUGGGUUGAUAGGCCGGAUAUGGAAGCCAGGUGACUGGUGGAGUUGACCGGUACUAAUAGGCCGAGGGCUUGUCCUCAGUUG